This 760-nucleotide ribosomal RNA is filed under the name uncultured Fusobacterium sp. RNAcentral describes it as "bacterial SSU rRNA". It matches the Rfam family "Bacterial small subunit ribosomal RNA", at positions 28 to 776 of the family's 1533-position model. The record is from RNAcentral. Lineage: Bacteria; Fusobacteriati; Fusobacteriota; Fusobacteriia; Fusobacteriales; Fusobacteriaceae.
GACGAACGCUGGCGAUAUGCCUAACACAUGCAAGUCGAAGGCUAACGGGUGAGCUUGCUGCUCCCGAUGACUACCACAGGGGGAAGGGUGCCUAACGCGACCGGCCCGUGCCUCGGGGAUAACAAUAACCCGCAAAAAUCCGGACUAAUGUUCCAUACAUGUUUAAUGACGCCUGCUUUGAGAUGAAAUAUUUAUCCUUCUGAAAGGACCAUGCUUCCUAUUACGUAGUUGGGGAGGUAACGGCUCACCAGGCCAACAAUCGGUAGGGGUGCUGAAAGGUGAAUCCCCCACCUUGGACUGAGACACGGCCCGACUCCUACGGGAGGCAGCAGUGAGGAAUCUUGGUCAAUGGAGGAAACUCUGAACCAGCCACGUCGCGUGAAGGAAGAAUGUCCUAAGGAUUGUAAACUUCUUUAGCGAGCGAGAAAGGACUUCCACGUGAUGGGAGUUUGAAAGUACCUCUCUUACCAGUAUCGGCUAACUCCGUGCCUGCCCCGCGGUAAUACAAUACGAUACGUACCGUUAUCCGGAUUUAUUGAUUUUAAAGGGUGCGCAGCGUGGUCUUGCAAGAUCAGUGGUGAAAAGCUGACGCUCAACCUCACCCCUUGCCGCUGAAACUGCUGUACUUGUUAGUACAUGAUGUGGGCAGAGUGCUUCCUUGUGCGGUGAAAUGCAUAGAUAUUACACAGAACUCCGAUGGCGAAGGCAGCUCAUCUGGUAUUUCUGACACUGAUGCACGAAAGCGUGGUGAGCGAACAGG